GCGCUCGUGGUGUAGCGGUAACACACAGUCUGCGUCUAGAAUGGAGAACAGAGCAGCUUGGACUGGAUUCGGGGUUCGAAUCCCCGCGAGCGCA
Mycena vulgaris is the source of this 94-nucleotide non-coding RNA. NCBI's taxonomy places the organism in Eukaryota, Fungi, Basidiomycota, Agaricomycetes, Agaricales, Mycenaceae. The record is from the annotation of a GenBank genome assembly.